AUAAAUUACCUUAUCCUUGG
This 20-nucleotide microRNA is filed under the name Monodelphis domestica (gray short-tailed opossum). RNAcentral's name for it is "mdo-miR-7386g-3p". Lineage: Eukaryota; Metazoa; Chordata; Mammalia; Didelphimorphia; Didelphidae. The record is from miRBase by way of RNAcentral.